UACGAGUGCCCCAAGCGUUAUCCGGAAUUACUGGGCGUAAAGGGUGUGUAGGUGGUUGUGUUAGUCUUCUGUUAAAUUCUUCGGCUUAACCGGGGGCAUGCAGAAGAAACGGCACAACUAGAGGAUACGAGGGGUCUGUGGAACUCAUGGAGUAGGGGUGAAAUCCGUUGAUAUCAUGGGGAACACCGAAAGCGAAGGCAGCAGACUGGCGUAUUCCUGACACUGAAACACGAAAGCGUAGGUAGCGAAUGGG
Molecule: ribosomal RNA, 253 nt
Filed under: uncultured bacterium
Lineage: Bacteria
Description: partial 16S ribosomal RNA
Rfam family: Bacterial small subunit ribosomal RNA
Source: RNAcentral